RNAcentral lists this long non-coding RNA (298 nucleotides) under Oryza sativa Indica Group (long-grained rice). RNAcentral's name for it is "lncRNA OsMH63_01G005510". Lineage: Eukaryota; Viridiplantae; Streptophyta; Magnoliopsida; Poales; Poaceae. The record is from RNAcentral.
UGUAUACCAGCGUGUGAUCGUGGUGGACACCUUCAAGCUCUUCAUACUCAGCUGCGUCCAAUUCCCGAAGGUCAUUUGGCUCAAAAAACUUAGGGAGGACAUGCUGCCUGAUAAGAAUCAUAAGGAAGAAUGGCAGAGGGAACAGGAUCCCUGCUAUUGGUAUCCAUGUUAUGCCGAAGCAUAUCAAGAGCAAGUUACUCAGUCUCUGCUCAUUCACUCGAACGGGCAAAUGGGCUUCUAUAUUUCACCAACCUGCCCCUUAAGGACAGCAAGACUUCUUGUAUGCAUCGGAGACUGA